Molecule: long non-coding RNA, 1313 nt
Filed under: Crocodylus porosus (Australian saltwater crocodile)
Lineage: Eukaryota; Metazoa; Chordata; Crocodylia; Crocodylidae
Description: lncRNA (ENSCPRG00005002864.1)
Source: RNAcentral
UGGUGCCACAGAUGGGCCUGUGGCACCGCAUACUGCACAUCCAUGCUCAUCUGGACACACCGAUAUGGGACAGAAAGGAGAGCGUCAGAUCAGGCAGAGAGAAGGAAGCAGAAAAUACAGGGCAGGAAGCAAAAAAUAAAGCAGCAGAUGAGGAACGGAGCACAGAGCAGGAAGCAGAGCAGCAGACUGAACAAGGCAUUCAGCGAGGGCAGAACUUGUGGCAUAUCUGUCAAAAAGGUUGGAUACCACUGAUCUAGAGAAUAUGUGAAAGAAGGCCCUUUUGGGUGUUACAUUUUAUUGGACCGACUGUAUAGUUGAGAGAGAUCUUAGACAAGCUUUCAGGCAUAAAGCAAUCUUCCUCAGUUAACUGGCUUUAGUUGUUACAGCAUGAAUUUGGGAUCAAAGCUUUCUGCAAAAUCUAUUGGAUGCAGUAGGAGGCAGUGACCAAAGAUUUCUGAGUCCUACUAAAUGCUUUGGGGGAUAAGACUUCAACAUAUUUUUAAAACUUUGGAGAGGACACAGCAAAAGGUACUGGUGGAAUCACUGGAUCCCACAGCUCCAGAAGGAAGUUCCAGAAGAACUAUCCUUCAAAACAACUUUGCUUUUACGAAAAGGAGUAUGAGGUGUGGCAGAUCAGUCAGUCAGACAUCUGGAUGUGAAACUUUAAACAAUGUUCCUUGGAAGGUUGAACGGGAAUCCACUUGCAUAGGUCUAAUACCUCUGUAAUUCUAAUGAUGCAGCAUCUCUGAGAGUGUCUUUCUGAUGUAUUUUCUGCAAUCUUGCAAGCCUAUUUGUAAUAGGUUAUGCAUAAUCUUAAUCUUGACUGUAAUUAUUACUUUGUAAAUUUGUUAUUGCUCUUCUUUGUCAGUCUUUUCCAUGCAAAAUUUUGACCUGCUGUGGGUUGUUUUCCAGGCAAUACUAUUCCAUUCUCCUUUUUAAACUUUUGAGGGCAUUUACUUUUAAUUGUUCUGUUCCUUUGAUAAUUGGACUUUUCCUGUGUGCUCUUUAAUGUAGCUUGUGAUCUCUGUUUUUGCCCAAUUCCACUCCACUUGCUCCUGCUAAAUGCUUUAUAACUUCUUUGUCCAGCCUCAAAUUCCUGUCUCAGCAUGAAGUGAAGGGGCAUUCACCAUGCUGCUACACAAUGUUCUCUCCUUUCCUCAUGAAACAGGCUGAUAAAACACUCCUAGAAUCAGACUGAACCAAACAUCAAUUCUCCCAGAUAACAGGUUGCUUCUUUCUGCUUCACUAAGCCAAAACCAUGCAGGGAAAAUGAGGAAAAGAUAAGAAAAAGAGGUUCCCUAGUCAAACUCUAG